CUCAUUGUCCAGAGCUCAGCCAACCACUAGCAUUUAGGUUAGUUUGAGGAGAGUGAGAAAUCGAGGAGGUGCAGUAGGAGUGGGACUGCAAAAGCACUGCAGGAAUGAAGAGCAGUCAUCCACAUGAAUUCAUCCUUGAGAACAUUUUCAUGGGAACCAUGCAUGGGGUAAGAUUCAGCCCACACCUCGAGUUCAGAGAACGAUAGGAAUAUCCUACAGAGAGAAGUGGACAAUACUAAUAAAGUCUCAGAGGUGGAAUGACAGUGGCAAGUUUGCCACUCAGCAAGUUUGCCAGUGACCCAAGCUGUGUGAUGCAGGUGACUGACACACUGGAGAGAAGGGAAGCCACCCAGAGGGAAGGGAUUCUGGAGAGGAGGGACUCAACUGACUCAGAUGUAGUGAUGUGAUAAAACCCAGCUAUGGCCAGAUCGACUCAGCUGCACCUGAGGAAUGUGGAUAACUUCUGGAAGAGCAUGUGAGGAGUACUCUACAGCUUUUUCAGGAGGCUGAGGCUGGUGCUGCCAGCAGCCAGUCUGCCAUGGAGGCUUGCUGAACGGUGAAAUGAAUGUAUGCAACUAUCUCAAAAGCUUCAGAAAGGCAAAGCUCUGCAAGGCAGAAGCUAUUAGUCUAUACACACAACCAGGGUUGCCCCAUCCCAGAUGCAGAAUCCAGCACUUUCCUUUGUUGAACUUCAUACAGCUGGGGAUUCCCCAUCUCUAAUUUGUCAAGGUCUCUCUGCAGGGCCUCUGCCCUUGAGGGAGUUAGCAGCUCAUCCCAACUUAGUGUUGUUGGCAAACUUACUAUCCCUUCUAGUCCUGUAUUCAAGUCAUUAAUGAAGAUGUUGAAGAGCACAGGCUGAGGAUGGAGGCCUGUGGAACCCCACUAGUGACAGGUCACCAGUCUGAAGUCACCCCAACUGAUGUCACUGUAACCCUCUGUACCUGCCCUGGGGGCCAGUUGCUCACCCAAUGUGUAACAUGAUUAUCCAGCUGUGGGAUGGACAUUUUGUUCAGGAGGAUGUUGAGACAGUAGCAAAAACUUUGCUGAGGUCUGAGACGAUCAUGCCUACUGACUUUUCUAGACCAAGUAGGUGGGUUAACCUGUUGCAAAAGGAAAUCAGGUUUGAUAAGCAGGACUUUCCUCUCAUGAAGUCAUGCUGGCUGUGACCAAGGACUGGAUUGUCUUUCAGGUGUUUUUUAAUACUUCCCUAAGUAAUCUUCUCCAUAACUUUACCAGACACUGAAAUGACACUGAAAGGCCUGUAGUUUCUGCAAUCCUCCUCCCUGCCCUUCAUGAAAAUCAGGACAAUGUUCACCAACCUCCACUCAGCUCCAAAUUCGCAAGAUCGCUUGAAAAUGAUUGAGAGAGGCUUUGCAAUUACAUCAGCUAACUCUUUGAGGACUCUGAGAUUAAUCCCAUGAGGCUCCAUAGAUUUAUAUGCAUCUAGCUGGAGCAGCAGAUACCAUGAAAUUUCAGAGUAUACUGAUAAUUCUCACAGUCAUUGUCCUCCAGCUCAAGGUUCUAAGAACUCCUUGGUUCAUCACAGCUGCUGAAGACAGAGGUAAAGAAUGCAUUAAACACUUCUGCCUGUUCCCUGUCCCUGUUUGUGAGGGGACAAUCAUCAUCCUGGAAUGGGCUGAUGUUGUUUCUACACUGACUAUUGCCAUGAAUAUAUUUGGAAAAACUUUUUAUUGUCCCCCAUAUUUCUGGAAGCUUCAACUCCAGCUGAGCUUUGGCCAUACGAAUUUUCUCCCUAGAGUGGCAAGCAGCAUCUCUGUGCUCCUCUAUGUCACCUGACCUUGCUGCUACCAGGCAUACACUCUGCACUGGGUUAUGUGGGAACAUUGCUGCUCAGUUAGCAUUUAUUUAAGGAACUGAGAGGGAAUGUAUGCAAAUAUUUGGCUCUGUUAACUCAAGACAACAAACAGUGAAUAAAGAAUAAAGAUAAAGAGGGAAUUGGUUGCCUAGGUAGUUGUUCAGGACUGUUGUAAGCACUUUCUAGGGAAGAAAAAUCUUACCACAUAAUUUUACUUACUGGUUUCUGACUUUUUCCAGGUAUGUUUUGCUCUUUUUGGCCUACCAAGUCUGCAGGUUUGGAAGAAGGAGGCAGUCCUUGGCUUUUAACAGGGAUUUGUGACUUUAAUUGUUGGUGUUUGAAAAGGAGUCCCCAGACCCCUUGUGGACAGGUGACUUGCACUAUUGGCCAUGCAAGUGAUAGAAGUCACAUUCAGAUAAGUGCAGCUCUUGGAAUCUCUCUGUGUGUAUGCACAUACUAGAAGAAGCUAUUUUUGCAGCUAAGUCUGGAUAUUACUUCUCCUAAAAACUCGGUGUUUUUCCAAGACUCACUAAUUAAAUUAGCAACUGAAGAUAUGUGAGUAACUUUCUCUAAAGAGGAUGCUGAUUAAUUUCCUUUUCCUUGUCCUGAACUGAUCUGAUUCUCCUAAAUAAAUUGUAUCAGGACAGUUUUAAAGCAUUUGUAAGGGUUUUGUGUCAUCACUGAGUCUUGGCUUCUUGAGAUGUCUUCUGGUUUAAACAACCAUUCAUUUUGGACAGUUACAUUCUUCUGGAAUGGGAACAGGUUUUUUGUCUCCUGUGUGUUUCUGGUCUUUCAAUGUGUUGCAUUUAUUUAAAACCUCUUUUCAGUAAUUUGUAGGUACACAUUUUUUAUUCCUUUCUACAAUUGAGAAUUAUGGUACAUUUUUAUUGUAAGGGAGAUUGAAUUAAUCAGGAUCUAGAAUGUGUCUGAGCUACUGAAGGACUGUACAAUCAAUUCAGUUCUUAAAGACCUCCAAGGAGAUAAAGUUUGACUACAGAUGCACAGAAUAUCAACAGAGAAGCAAAGACAAUUCUGAUGGAAAUACUUGCAGCUUACUUACCAGGAGAAAACCCCUUUGCUCCAAAACUGGAUCUUCUGUACAUUGUAUUGUAGAGGUACACAGGCAGAAUUAAACUUCUUCAGCUCUGU
Haemorhous mexicanus (house finch) is the source of this 2965-nucleotide long non-coding RNA. RefSeq lists it as uncharacterized. NCBI's taxonomy places the organism in Eukaryota, Metazoa, Chordata, Aves, Passeriformes, Fringillidae. The record is from RefSeq and is a predicted model, not a curated record. The transcript has 4 exons.